AGUUAAAUAUGCGCCAUAGGUGUUGGCAUGCUUCAUGAUAAGCAUGGCAGCUUAAAAGGGAAGCCGGUUCAAGUCCGGCGCGGUCCCGCCACUGUAAUCCACUUAGCAAAGGUGGAAAGUCAGAAUACCUGCCCAUGGAGCCCUAUACGA
This 150-nucleotide non-coding RNA is filed under the name Paenibacillus ferrarius. Lineage: Bacteria; Bacillati; Bacillota; Bacilli; Caryophanales; Paenibacillaceae. The record is from RNAcentral.